RNAcentral lists this transfer RNA (74 nucleotides) under Phycisphaerae bacterium. Its description in RNAcentral is "tRNA-Arg". It matches the Rfam family "tRNA". From Rfam's summary of the family: Transfer RNA (tRNA) molecules are approximately 80 nucleotides in length. Their secondary structure includes four short double-helical elements and three loops (D, anti-codon, and T loops). The record is from RNAcentral. RNAcentral also lists the same sequence under 2 other names. Lineage: Bacteria; Pseudomonadati; Planctomycetota; Phycisphaerae.
GCGCUCGUAGCUCAAUUGGAUAGAGCGUCGGUCUACGGAACCGAAGGUUGCAGGUUCGACUCCCGCCGGGCGCA